AUUGAACGCUGGCGGCAGGCCUAACACAUGCAAGUCGAGCGGAGCGGCGGACGGGUGAGUAAUGCCUAGGAAUCUGCCUGGUAGUGGGGGAUAACGUCCGGUAACGGGCGCUAAUACCGCAUACUAUCAGAUGAGCCUAGGUCGGAUUAGCUAUAGGCUUCCCCUCGUAUCGACCUAGGCGACGAUCCGUAACUGGGCUGAGAGGAUGAUCAGUCACACUGGAACUGUGACACGGUCCAGACUCCUACGGUAGGCAGCAGUGGGGAAUAUUGGACAAUGGGCGAAAGCCUGAUCCAGCCAUGCCGCGUGUGUGAAGAAGGGCUUCGGAUUGUAAAGCACUGUAAUUUGGGAGGCGUUACCAACAGAAUAAGCACCGGCUAACUUCGUGCCAGCAGCCGCGGUAAUAC
Molecule: ribosomal RNA, 407 nt
Filed under: uncultured bacterium
Lineage: Bacteria
Description: partial 16S ribosomal RNA
Rfam family: Bacterial small subunit ribosomal RNA
Source: RNAcentral